GCAUUCUACAAUUAUUUGGCUUAGUUGAGUUGAUCUGAACUUGACACAUUGUUUGGAAAACAGAGUGACUAGAAAGUUUAAUGUUGGAUCAGUGGGGAAAAUGGAUAAUUCUGUUGUUAAUUCUAGCAAUGCAUUGAAAAUUCAGGACUAUAGUUCUGUGUGGUUGAUGGAGAACAUGGUCUGAUUGAGAUGAGAAUUUAUGAAUUGUUGGAGCAGAAUCUGAGCCUUGAAGGACUCAAUUAAGGCUAGGGAUCUGUUACUAACAUGUCUGUUGAGAAUUUUUUGAAUUGUGAGUCUUACUUGAAUAGAUAUAUCUGGUUGAUGGGAUGUUCAGGAUUCACAACCUUUUUCUAUUCUGCUGUGUUUAUUUUUUAGCUGAUUAGACCAAUUUUCAUUUUGAUAGGAAGACUAAGCCAAUUUCUAAAUAUGCUUACUCUGGAAUGUUAUGGAAGCAUUCUGAUUCAAAGGGAUUAAAUUAUCGAGCAAAAGAAAAAGAAAAUAUAAGCUAUGUGGAAUUAUCCCCCUAUAUGUGCUUGUGAAACAAUAUGAACACUGUUUUUCUCCCUGUCAUCAACUGAGGUUCCAAACAGUGGAAUCUCUUAAGUGACCACGUUAAGCAUUCCUACUUUGUUGUUUGUGCAAUUCUUGGCUACAUCUUAAGUUUAAAUCUGUUUGAACGAUCUUAUACUUUCAAGGGAACAUGGCUCCUGUUUACCCUGGAAAUGAACAGUGUUUGAAAGAAAUGGAGAAAAGAGGAAAA
Molecule: long non-coding RNA, 760 nt
Organism: Vitis riparia (riverbank grape)
Lineage: Eukaryota; Viridiplantae; Streptophyta; Magnoliopsida; Vitales; Vitaceae
Exons: 4
Source: RefSeq, a predicted model, not a curated record